Molecule: transfer RNA, 82 nt
Filed under: Saccoglossus kowalevskii
Lineage: Eukaryota; Metazoa; Hemichordata; Enteropneusta; Harrimaniidae
Description: tRNA-Ser
Rfam family: tRNA
About the family: Transfer RNA (tRNA) molecules are approximately 80 nucleotides in length. Their secondary structure includes four short double-helical elements and three loops (D, anti-codon, and T loops).
Source: RNAcentral
GCUGUGAUGGACGAGUGGUUACGGCGUUGGACUCGAAAUCCAAUAGCGUCUCCCCACACAGGUUCGAACCCUGUUCGCAGCG